RNAcentral lists this ribosomal RNA (430 nucleotides) under uncultured prokaryote. RNAcentral's name for it is "bacterial SSU rRNA". It matches the Rfam family "Bacterial small subunit ribosomal RNA", at positions 355 to 776 of the family's 1533-position model. RNAcentral also lists the same sequence under 1 other name. The record is from RNAcentral.
UGGGGAAUAUUGGGCAAUGGGCGAAAGCCUGACCCAGCGACGCCGCGUGGGCGAUGAAGGCCUUCGGGUUGUAAAGCCCUGUCAUGCGGAAAGAACGACCCUGUGACGCAUACUCACAGGGAGUGACGGUACCGCAGGAGGAAGCACCGGCUAACUCCGUGCCAGCAGCCGCGGUAAUACGGAGGGUGCAAGCGUUGUUCGGAAUUAUGGGGCGUAAAGGGCGCGUAGGCGGUAAUGUAAGUCAGAUGUGAAAUACUCCGGCUCAACCAGAGAACAGCAUCUGAAACUGCAUAACUAGAGUACAGAAGAGGGAAACGGAAUUCCCGGUGUAGAGGUGAAAUUCGUAGAUAUCGGGAGGAACACCAGUGGCGAAGGCGGUUUCCUGGUCUGAUACUGACGCUGAGGCGCGAAAGCGUGGGGAGCAAACAGG